ACAUUUAGGUUGUAGGGAACUGAAAGGGACCGACCUUCGGGAGCCUAUACAGGUGUUGCAUGGCUGUCGUCAGCUCGUGUCGUGAGAUGUUCGGUUAAGUCCGCUAACGAGCGCAACCCUCGUCGUAUGUUAUUAUGUGUCAUUACGAGACUGCCGGUAAAAGCCGGAGGAAGGUGAGGAUGAUGUCAAGGUCAGCAUGACCUUUAUAUCCAGGGCUACACACACGCUACAAUGGUCUGUACAAUGGGUAGCCAAGCCGCGAGGCGGAGCCAAUCCUGAAAGCAGGCCUCAGUUCAGAUUGCAGUCUGCAACUCGACUGCAUGAAGCCGGAGUUGCUAGUAACCGCAGGUCAGCAAUACUGCGGUGAAUACGUUCCCGGGUCUU
Molecule: ribosomal RNA, 384 nt
Filed under: uncultured Anaerolineaceae bacterium
Lineage: Bacteria; Bacillati; Chloroflexota; Anaerolineae; Anaerolineales; Anaerolineaceae
Description: bacterial SSU rRNA
Rfam family: Bacterial small subunit ribosomal RNA
Source: RNAcentral